GACGAACGCUGGCGGCGUGCUUUAGGCAUGCAAGUCGAACGCGAAAGCCCCUUCGGGGGUGAGUAGAGUGGCGAACGGGUGAGUAACACGUGGGUAACCUGCCCCUCGCAGGGGGAUAACCGGGGGAAACCCCGGCUAAUACCCCGUACGCUUGCUGGGGCGCAUGCUCCGGCAAGGAAAGGUAGCUUCGGCCAUCCGGCGAGGGAGGGGCCCGCGGCCCAUUAGCUAGUUGGUGGGGUAACGGCCCACCAAGGCGACGAUGGGUAGCUGGCCUGAGAGGGUGGUCAGCCAAACUGGGACUGAGACACGGCCCAGACUCCUACGGGAGGCAGCAGCCAGGAAUCUUGCGCAAUGGGCGAAAGCCUGACGCAGCAACGCCGCGUGGGCGAUGAAGGCCUUCGGGUCGUAAAGCCCUGUUGUCGGGGACGAAGGGCGAAGGGUUAAUAGCCCCUAGCCUGACGGUACCCGACGAGGAAGCCCCGGCUAACUACGUG
This 494-nucleotide ribosomal RNA is filed under the name uncultured bacterium. RNAcentral's name for it is "partial 16S ribosomal RNA". It matches the Rfam family "Bacterial small subunit ribosomal RNA", at positions 28 to 507 of the family's 1533-position model. The record is from RNAcentral.